CAAUAGCGUAUAUUUAAGUUGUUGCAGUUAAAAAGCUCGUAGUUGGAUUUCGGAUGGGACUUGCCGGUCCGUCGUUGCGAUGUGCACUGGCCAGUCCUAUCUUGUUGUCGGGGACUAGCUCUUGGUCUUCACUGGCCGGGACUAGGAGCUGACGAGGUUACUUUGAGUAAAUUAGAGUGUUCAAAGCAGGCCUACGCUCUGAAUACAUUAGCAUGGAAUAACACGAUAGGACUCUGGCCUAUCUUGUUGGUCUGUAGGACCGGAGUAAUGAUUAAGAGGGACAGUCGGGGGCAUUCGUAUUUCAUUGUCAGAGGUGAAAUUCUUGGAUUUAUGAAAGACGAACUACUGCGAAAGCAUUUGCCAAGGAUGUUUUCAUUAA
This 379-nucleotide ribosomal RNA is filed under the name uncultured eukaryote. RNAcentral describes it as "partial 18S ribosomal RNA". It matches the Rfam family "Eukaryotic small subunit ribosomal RNA", at positions 592 to 976 of the family's 1831-position model. The record is from RNAcentral.